CACACCCCAGCCACCCCCUCCCACCUGAGCUCCGUCCCACCCUUUCUGCCCACUGGUACCUGCAGGCCUCGUCCUGAAGGCCAGGGGCUGACUCCAGGGGCUCCAAGUCUUGUGGCUGCCUCUCUGGGCCCUGACCCGCACUUGAAAUUCAUACAGGGUGUCUGGACAUGUAUCAAUGUCCCGUAGUCUCCAAUCUCUGCCUCUGCAGACCGUCUCCCACUCCCCUCCAUGUGGGCUUCCUGAACGCAGGAAGCUCCCAGUUUUGCCCUCCACCCGCUUCCCCAGCACCCAGCGCCCAGUCAGCACCCAGCGGGUAGUAAAUAUUCAGGAGCUCACAGCCCAGUAAGGGAAACGUGCUGUAGCCAUAAUCAGGCAGUGAGAACCCUGAAAGAAGAUAAAUACCCUGAAGGAGGAAGUACAAGGGACCGGGAGAGUCUGGGAAGGCUUCCUGGAGGAGGAGACUCUUCCCUGAGCCUUGAAGGGUCAAACGGUCUCGGUCACAAGUCGUUGCCUCCUGUGAAAGCAGCCGGACACAACCCGCGGGAGACUGCGCAUGGCUGAUGGCACCUGCCGCUGAAACUUCACUUACAGAGACAGACAGCUGAAUGUUCCCGGGGCCUGAGGUGAAGUGAGCUGCCGUGGGAGGGAGGGAGCCCCCCAGCGCAAAGGCGUGCGAGCCGGAUGAGCCCCCGAGAAAACUACCUGUGCACCAGCUUUGAGGGUGAACGCUUCCCCUCCCCCACACCCCCAACCCUGACUUUUGGGGAAGGAAAUGGUCAGGUGUUGAGCAUCCCCUGUGGGCAGGCACGGCUCGGGUGCCCCAGACACUUGUCUGGCUGAUUCUUCGAGCCAUCCGUCCUCCUACGGCAGGGGAGAAACUCAAAGUCACGCAUCCGGUCAGCAGAGGAGUCCGGAUUCAAACCCAGGCCUCUGCAGCCACUGCCCUACGGAGACUGCAGGCCGGGGCCGUGACGCCUGACCCAGGGCGGCCGAGGGAGCAGCCUACGGCUCACAGGGGGCGGCGUUCUCAGGUCCGGGAGCCCAGGCACGGGCCCACCAUGAGCAAACCUUGAACCUGAGCUGGGUGCAGUUCCCAUCUCCCCGCUGCUGGGGGCCUGCCCCUGCCUCCCUCAGCUGCUGGCGGUGCGGGGGGCUGAUGCUUCCAGAUAAUAAUGGUAGGUCUUGCUAAGGUCACAGAUCAUAGAGGUGCCAGGAAUGCUUUGUCCUCCAUGCCAGGCACUUCUGCGUGCUGGUCACAUGUUGUCUCAUUUAAUUCCCUCAACACCCUACGAGACAGACACUGUCACUCUUCUCACCCUGGAGCUGAGAAGACUGAAGCUCAGAGUGGCUAGGGAUGUGCCUGAGGUCACACAGCUAGGAAUCGGUGGGGACAGGUCCUGAAGCCAGACCCCCUGCAGACCUCGCAGGGACUGGUUCCAGAGGCUGCGCCUGAAUCAGCCCCGCCAUGUGAGCCCAUCUCCACGUCCUCCUGCCACUUACAAAUGGGUAUGAGCUGAUGAUGGCUGGAACUUGUGGUGUGGGCAUCCCUGCUGCCUGCCGCUGCCAAGCAGGGCGUGACAGAUGGUGAUGUGCUGCCCACCCGCAUGGACACGGCUGCACACCCAUCUAGAGGGUUCAAUCCCAGCUCUGCCCACCACUGGCAGCGCCUCUCUGGGCCUGUUUCCUCAUUGGGAAGAAGAGGAUAGCGCUGGUGCCCACCCACAAAGUCAUAGGGAUCCACAGGCUAUAAAGUCAAGUGCAUGCUCUGUGGUGGGUGGCACGUCAGGUGCUUUAACCCACAGAACACUAUGACACAGGUGCCAUCGUUAUUGCCAUUUCGAGAAGGGAAGCCUGGGACUCAGCACUUGCCCAGUGUCACCAGGCUUCUGUGACAAUGGAGCCAGGGCUGGCACCCAGGCCAGCUCCAGGAUCCAUGCUUUUAAGCCCACACUGCCCUGCACUUGCCAAGACCUUGGAAGAGUCUGAGGAGGGUGUUAUUGGUGGGCGCUCCCCAACCUGAUGAGGAGUACAGAAGUGUCACAGGACCCACAAAGCAUGGGGGAGAUGGGGGAGAAGAGGCCGAAUGGCCGAGCCCCUUGCACCACAGAUACCCUCCUCCACACCAUCAGUCUGAGCUCUGGCCUUUGGACGCUGCUCUUCUUCCUCCCACCUCUCUUGCCCCCGGGGCAGCCCCCUGUGCUGCAGCCCAGAGCCAAAGCCACUGGGCUCACUGGGCCCCAGCUCUGCCCCUGGAAGGACACCCCUCUGCACCCUGGGCUCUCUUCUCAGCUCCCACUACUCACAUCUGGGGAUCCGAGGAUCAGGUAACAGGCCCAGAAUGCCGGUCGCAUAGGGAGCAGCUCACAGGAUUUGUUCCAAGGCCUGUCAAGGCAAAAGAAACUCCUUAGGACAAAAGGAGGGACCCCCAGAGCUGGCCCUCGGGAUGGCCCCCGCUGCAGCAAGGCCAGCCUGUGCCGGGCUCUAUGCCGACCUCGGGAGAGGCACCCAUUCCCCACCUGCUCCACUUCCCAUCACCAGCGCCUCUUUCUACCCUGCCCAGCCUGGCCCCGCAGUAGCCACAGUGAUCUUCUAGAAACAAGCAGUCCAGGACAUGUUGGCCUCCCCAUCUAAAGCCCUCCAGUCUUCCCAUGAGGCUGGAUGAAGCCUUUGGAACCCUGUGGAAUCACCACCCACCCAAGACCACAGCCAAACUGCAAGCCACCUUUGCUGUUGCCACAUUUGGAUCACAGCAACCCUAUUCCUGAAUCCCAACCAUGCCCCAGGCCCCUGUCCCCACAGCUGCCCUAGGAGUCUCUCAAAAAGCUUGGGGAGCCCUCUUUCUUCCCCCUGCGUGCUUCUAAUGUCGAGUCUAACUAUGGCCCAGGAGUCUCACAGCCCAGUGUCCCCCAAACUACCCCGGCCCCUCCACCAAAGCCUGGACCCCCAGUCCUCCCUCCCGCCCUGGUUCCAGGAGUCUAAACUUCUAACUCCUGUGUUUUCCAGUCUUCUGUGAUACCAGAGUCCGUGGGUCCUAUCAAUCCAAAUUCUCAAGUGCAGCAUCUUGGAGUCUAUUAGAAAGAAUUCUAAGAGUCUAAACGUCAGUGAUUAGAGCCCCCCAUCCUGAGACGCUGCAGCUUUGCUGGUCAACCCCCCACACUUACCGUCUAUCUGGCUGAGCAUGGAUCUUGCAGGAUGUGGCCUGAAGGUCCCCAUCCCAGCUCCAGAUGCAGGAGAUGUUGGCUUUUGAGUUGUAGAAGCAUGUGAGCUUGGAAGUGUCUGCUGACAAGACGAGGCAUGAGUUGCUGGCUGGGGGGUACCUAGGGACCUCCGGGGCCCGCCCACCACCCAGCUCCCUGCUCCCUGCUCCCUGCAUCCUGUGCCUGCCAGAUGAGGAGGUGGGCAGCCCUGGUGGGCAGCAAAGAACUCAGUGGAUCCAUUUCAGAGAGGACAACACUGAGCCCAGCGCCUGCAAGGUCCCUCAGGCAGGCCGAGGCAGGGCAGGCAUGAAAAGCCAGGGUCUUCCUUUGGCUGGAGGAGACACAGGGGUGCAGCAGGGACAGGACAGAUGGGCCAAGGGGGAAAGUGGUGCACCUGAUCUCUGGUCCCAUUGCCCUCGCCUCCUCCCUCCCCAGCCUCCUGCCCCAGUUGAUGGGCCUCUGCCCAGAAGCAGGGGUCCUGAAAGGGAUCCGACAGGGGUUUGUCCACCUGCCAAGAGAAAGCACAGCUGUCCAGGUGCCGGGGUCCUCACCAUUCACCACUGAGGAUGCCUGAAGGAUGGCCAGGGGCAGGAAGAGGACAAGGAGGGGCAGACAGGAGGACAGAGCAGGAGCUGCCAUCAUAUCCACGGGUGGGAGCCGGGGAAGGGAGCCCUAGAGGGGGGAAGAGGGGAAGAAAGCACAAGUGAACACCUGCUCCAGGUCCCUGCCCCUCUCAGGGUGCCCCAGUCUGCUCUCCACCCAGCAGCACCAGCCAGCCUCGGCGUUUUGCACCUGCUGGCCCCUCGGGCCCACGCAUACUCCCUCCCUUCGGGGAUUCGGGGACCCACACUCUGUCAGACACUGUCACACACUCGCUCUCCCUGAGCGAGCCCAACCCCUUGUUCAAAAGCCGAGGAAACUGAAGCCCAGGGAAAGGAAAGAUUUGUUCUAGUCUACGUGGGGUAGUCAGCACAGAGCCAGGAUUAGGGCUUGCCUCCUCUUGGCCCUGCUGCUCCCUAGUCACCCCUGAAAGUGGCAUCAGGAGGCUCCUAGAUGCCAGGCUGUCUUAAACUCUUUAAAUGAAGCAAGAAGCACAUCCAUUGGAGAUACUCUUAUUAUCUGCAUUUUCAGGCGGGGAAACUGAGGCACAGUGCUGUAACUGGCCAAGGCCACACAGCUGAUAAGAAGCAGAUGUGGGGGAUCCCUGGG
Canis lupus familiaris (dog) is the source of this 4406-nucleotide long non-coding RNA. RefSeq lists it as uncharacterized. NCBI's taxonomy places the organism in Eukaryota, Metazoa, Chordata, Mammalia, Carnivora, Canidae. The transcript has 4 exons. The record is from RefSeq and is a predicted model, not a curated record.